Molecule: long non-coding RNA, 565 nt
Organism: Alnus glutinosa
Lineage: Eukaryota; Viridiplantae; Streptophyta; Magnoliopsida; Fagales; Betulaceae
Exons: 2
Source: RefSeq, a predicted model, not a curated record
ACCGCCGCCCCCCCCUCUCUCUCUCUCUCCCUCUCGCUCGCUCGCCGGUCGAGCCCGUCCCUCUCCCCCAAAUAUCCCCCCCCCCGCCAAAACGGCCGGCCCCCUCUCUCUCUCUCCCUCUCGCUCGCUUGCUCGUCGGUCGUCCCCGUCCCCCUCGUCGUUUAACCGGCGGCGUUGGUUCUCUCUCGGCGGUCGGCCACCCUCGACCGGGCCAUCCUUCACCGGUGCUCUGUUUGUGAAGGCAACUUUGAGUCCAAUAUACCUAUGGAUCUCGACAACACUGGGACACAGGGUAUGAGAUGUGCCUGGCCUUUUGGUUAUCUCCUAGACGCAGCUGACCAUGAGAUGACCAUCUUGCGAGAAAGCAUUAUGCAACAAAUGUGGCAGCAAAGACAUGAUUAGUAUUAUGUAUUGAGGAGGCUGUGGAAGACAUUAACUGAUAUUAUGCACUUUGACCGGUCUCGUUCUUUGUACUAAUGGUUGGGGUUUUUAUUGUGUAAUAUGUGUUUGGACUUUGAUGUUUGGUUUAUUACUGUCAGUUUAAUAUCAUGUUCACAUUGUGCUU